GAUGAACGCUGGCGGCGUGCUUAACACAUGCAAGUCGAACGGUGAAGGCGGAGCUUGCUCUGCUGGAUCAGUGGCGAACGGGUGAGUAACACGUGAGCAAUCUGCCCCUGACUCUGGGAUAAGCGCUGGAAACGGCGUCUAAUACUGGAUACGAGCUGCGAAGGCAUCUUCAGCAGCUGGAAAGAAUUUCGGUCAGGGAUGAGCUCGCGGCCUAUCAGCUUGUUGGUGAGGUAAUGGCUCACCAAGGCGUCGACGGGUAGCCGGCCUGAGAGGGUGACCGGCCACACUGGGACUGAGACACGGCCCGGACUCCUACGGGAGGCAGCAGUGGGGAAUAUUGCACAAUGGGCGAAAGCCUGAUGCAGCAACGCCGCGUGAGGGACGACGGCCUUCGGGUUGUAAACCUCUUUUAGCAGGGAAGAAGCGAAAGUGACGGUACCUGCAGAAAAAGCGCCGGCUAACUACGUG
RNAcentral lists this ribosomal RNA (468 nucleotides) under uncultured bacterium. RNAcentral describes it as "partial 16S ribosomal RNA". It matches the Rfam family "Bacterial small subunit ribosomal RNA", at positions 28 to 507 of the family's 1533-position model. The record is from RNAcentral.